UCACCGAUGACAACUGUGGUUAGUGGUUU
RNAcentral lists this non-coding RNA (29 nucleotides) under Rattus norvegicus (Norway rat). Lineage: Eukaryota; Metazoa; Chordata; Mammalia; Rodentia; Muridae. The record is from RNAcentral.